RNAcentral lists this long non-coding RNA (14896 nucleotides) under Citrus sinensis (sweet orange). RNAcentral's name for it is "long non-coding RNA (CSIN_LNC000392)". Lineage: Eukaryota; Viridiplantae; Streptophyta; Magnoliopsida; Sapindales; Rutaceae. The record is from RNAcentral.
ACUACACAAAGACGACGAGGGAUGAAAUGUAACUUGUGAUGAUGAGCCAUGUAUCAACUAUCGACCCUUUGAUUUGGCGCUUUUAUGAAUACAAUAUACAGCAAACCUCGAUUUAGAUCACAAUUAAUGUAUAUAAAUACUUUGUAUUUACUGAGGCUUUCAGGAAGCAAAUAAACCUGCAAUAAAACUAGAUGGGAUUUCUUCUUUCUCCUUAUGGUUUCUUAGCACAGUGAAUAUAAAUAAAAGAAUUCAGUAUUGAGUUGAGUUUUUAUUGAAUACUGAAUCAAUAAUUGUUAGUUAAGAGAAAUAAAAAAAUAAAAAUUUAAAUAAAUCUUAAUUAUUGAUUCAGUGCUAAAAAAAAAAAAAAAACUCAGCAUUAAAUCUUAAUCCAAAACGGAAUCAAGUAACAUGGCAUAUAACAAAAUUAUGCAAACUGAUAUAAGAAAUGAUCAAAUAAGAAUUUUCAUUUUUAUACCAUUCUAAUAUGUUUUAUUUAUGUGUGGGACGUACAUUUCCGAUUCCGAGGCAUUUAACUCCACAAUCCGCUGCCGAUACCAUGAACUGAAUCUAAAACAAAUGGUAAAUUUGUGGACUUAUUCGUUACAUUCGCAAACAACAGGGACUGAUUUGAUAUUUCACCUCACAGAGUCGCCGCAAAUGCGGUUGAAUUUUUUUGAGCAUGCUCUCGGCUUCCCGCGACAAUAAAUUGGUAAUGAAAAUUUUCAUGACUCAAUUGAGUUAUUUAAUGAUGUGAUAUUUUAUGUGUCAUAAUUAUAUGUAUUGUAAAAAUAAUAAGUUAAUAAUUAUUAAUAAAAUCAGUUAAUAUUAAACACAUAAUAUUAAAUUAUUGGUAACAGAUCAGUGUGUAUCUCAAUUAGAUAUUUGAAUUUAGCAAAAAUAGCAUUAUCGUUAAUGUAUUCAAUCAACACCAUUUAAUCAUGCAUACUAACAUAUGUUCAAUUGAAAACACAAGACUGUGUAAAAAUAAUUAGCAUUCGAAAAACUAGCUUAACGACCAACGUAUCGAAAGAUAAAAUGGUAUAGAAAGAUUGAGAUGACAGAAAUAUCGCCGGCACGAUAGGGUCAACUUCACCUCAAUCAUUAAAAUGAUCCUAAAAAAUAUAGUGAUAUAAUUACUAACCUUUCAUAAUCAAAGGUUACCUAAGCUUAUUGGACAUCAACUUAAGUUUCAUUAAAUUAAUGGUGUGUUUACUACUAAUUGAGAAUGAGAGUGGAAAUUAAGAAAUGAGAAUAAAUGAUAUAUUUACUUACUUAAAUGAUAUAUGGAAUGAGAAACAAAUUGGCUGACCCCACCUAAAAUUAAAAAUGAUUACUAGAGUUUUCAUUCUUAUAGAUAGAGGUAGGAAUGAGAAUCAUAUUUCUUAAACUGACUAUAUUACCCCAUUUAAAUCUUGAAAUUUUCAUUUUAUCCUUCAUUAUAUCAUCAUCAUCAUAAGAAUAAAAAAAAAUUAUUAAUAUUAAUUAUAAUUAUUAAUCAUUAUAAUUAAUAUUUAUUACUACUCCUACUAGUCUACUACUAGGAAUACAAUGAUUAUAAAUAAUAAGAAAUAUUAUAAUUAUUAUUAACAAUAAUUGUUGUUGUUGUUGUUGUUAUAAAUAAUGACAAUAAUCAACUAAGGUCAAUUUAAUAACUUGUAACAAUCCAUUAUGAUUCCAAGAUAAAGUAAACACAUUAAUGGCAAUACAGUUUAUUCUGAUUCCGAUUUCCAGAUCUAAAUUAAAUAAUUUAUUCUUAUUUUCAUUUCAGUCCAUUCCGAUUAUUAAUUAGUAAAAACACCAUAAAUUCUUACCAAUUCUAAUUUCCAAGCUAAAUAUAAGAAUGAACGGUGAUAGGAACACAAUUAUUGAUAAAAGAUCUUGAGCUUCUUAUUUAAGGAACAACAAUCCUUAAUCCUAACGUGUAUCUUCCCUUUGCUCUGGCUUUAGAUGUUAGCUGAAAAAAAUUAAAAAUCUAUGAAUUGGCAAUUUGCCCCACACCAGUCACCUGUUCAGGUGCUGUUCGAAGAACAACACAACAUAAUUUGUUCACAAAAUAUUUUACUUCUAAGAAUGCCAUAAGAAGAAUUGUCCAUAUUGUACAAAUAUACUAAAAUUGCUCAGUUAUUCCUUUCAUAAAUAUCAAAUAUGAAAUACUUUCCACAUACAUAUAGUGCAUACAAAUUCAAACAACUAUCAAUGUUAUAAAUUUGUAACUUCCUAUAAAUCCCAGAGGUUUAUUCAACAUAUUUAUUUUCAUUCAUUACAACAUAAAAGAAAACAUACAAGAAAUGAACAGGCUCAAGCUCAACGACCAACUUCAAAGCUUGAAUUUGUAAUGAAAGGUUCGCCAUAGCUGACAGAUGGUGUAGGCACAUGAUAACUUGGAACAUGCAUUUUUGAUGGAAGAUUUGGCAUUGUUGUUUCAAAAUUAAGGACUUGAAUAGCAUGCCUUAUGGAAGGCCUGAAACAACGGUCAGGGUGAGCACACCAUAAUCCAACAAUCAACAAACAUGUCAUUUGUUGCUCAUCAAAUCUCGAAUCCAGUCUCUCAUUAGCAGCUGAAAGUAGCUUUCUUUCUCCAUAAAAAUCCCAGACCCAAGCCACCAGUUUUGGACAGUAGUUCUUACUGCUUCCCCCAAGCACAGCCUUCUCGCCUUCGACUCCCAGUUUCUCAACUGAUCCAGUAUUGGAGCAGGGAUGAGGAACCACAAACUGAGUUCGAAGUUUCUGUGCUUUGUAACGAUUAAUCACUUUUCUUCCAGUAGCAAUUUCUAAGGCAACUACUCUAAAGCUGAACACAUCUAACUCUUUACUAACCCUGCCUGUGCUAAUGUAUUCAGAGGCCAUGUAGGCUAAAGUUCCUACCAGCAUAAUAGUCUUAGGACCAAGCUCAUGGUCCAUCAGCCUGGCUAAUCCAAAGUCGCCUAAUUUGGCAUUAAAAUUAAAAUCUAAUGUUUGGGGAAUAAAAUAGGGUGAUCAUGAUCUCCUCGAGGUAAAGAGUAAGUAAAUAGUUGAUAGACUAUUAGGAGAAAAUUGUGGUGACCUCGAGCAGGCCACCUCAACCAUAUGGUAAUUUUGAUAACCUCGAAUAGGCCACCUCAACUAGGUGGUAAUUCUUGAGACCAUGAGCAUACCACCUCGACCAGGAGGUAAUUCUGGUGACCUCGAGUAAGCCACCUCGACCAUGAUGUAAUUCUAGUGACCUCGAGUGGAUAGGAAGAGACAUUAGACCAAGUCACUAGGAAGCAAGACUCAGUCAAAAUAAUUGCUACAAAUCUCCUCCAAAAAAUCAUAGCACGAAUUUAAUUCAUUAAUGGUUAUUUAUUGCUGACAUGACUCAAAAGUGUUAUUACUCCCAAGUAUAAGAGUUUCUAAUUAUAAUAUAACCCGAUGAGUCUGGGGUCGAACCACAUAAAAUUUAAAAUCUAGUAGCCAAUUUGUUAAAUAAAGAAAAUUAAUUGCGGGAAAAGAAAUCACUAUGAAUUAAUUUAAAAAUAUGCUAAGGUUACGGGAUCCACUCUCAGUAUUCAAACUAUAAUUUUACUACUCUCUCAUUUUUUUAUAUUUUGCCUCACUUUUACCAGUUAAUUAUUAUAUCAUUUAAUUUUUAAUUAACUAUGUGUGUGGAUAAAUAUGAAAUCAAGUACUUAAUGUGCCACAACUAUAUUAAUAUGUUGCCAUUAUGUUAAAAUACAAUACAGAUUCAAUAAAAUUUAUAAAUUAACAUGACAUAAAAAUAAUCAUUAAAAAAAUAAAAUAAACUUAAAACUCACUUGAGAAAGCAAUUAAUUUAAUAAUUUGAAACCUUGAGUUUCAUCCUUCACCUUAACUUAGUAAAAUUAUCCACUCGUAUUGAAAGAAAAUAAAACACUAUUUUUAUUUAACCGACUUUUAAAAUAUAUUAUAAGGAAGUUGAUUACACAACAAAAAAAGAAAAAGAAACAAUUCACAUGGCCACUUGACCAUCACGAGCAACCAAAGCAUGGUUGCUUACCUUUUAUUCUUUUUUUAUUUUUUUUGAAAUAUUUUUUUUAUUAAUUACAUCUCCUCAAUAAUACAUUUCAAAAUACUCCAGUAAUUUUUCUUUGUUCUCGCUUCCAGUUCCAACUCCUCCUUAUUCUUGAAAUAUAUCUACAAUAAAAUUAAAAUAAAAUUAACAUAUUACAAAGUUACAAAUUAAUUUAACAUAAAUAUAUUUGGAGAGUAUUAAAAUAAUUUAAGAAUAAUGAGCGCAUUAAUCUACACAAUAAGUGAAAAAUUGAUAAUUUUAUCUUCAUUGAAUGUACACUUUUUAAUGUCAAUCAAUUGCCAUGAUCUAAGGUCGUGGGGAUGGGGUGUUUAUAAAAACUCCAAGAAAAUCAUGUCAGGAGAGGUGGAACUUUCUUUCUCUGUUUUGAUUUUACUAUUCCAUUUACUUAAGAUUAUUUAUUCAUAAAAACUAGAAAUUACAUAUUUUGUUUUUCCUAUAAACCCGAUAACUGACUUGGGCGUUGGAGGGUUCACACCGGAAAAUUUUUUGGUGCCUCUUACUGGUAUUUGUGAUUUCAGGUGUUUGCGAGUUAUCUGCUAGUGAUCGUAAACUGCUUCCCCAACAAAUAAAUUUAAUGAUAACACAAAGAUUUAUUAUCCAGUUAGUAACUGACUAGUCCAAAUUUCGACGUCAACAUUUAACAUUAGUUUGCUCGAUUUGGUAUCCCUGUGCACAAUGCAUUGCUCCUAUUCUUCAUGAAGAUAGAGCAAAGCCGUGGCCAAACCGAGAGAAAUCAUGUACCUUACAGCCCAAGCAAGAGGACUCUUCUUGCCAAACAGGCGAGCAUCAAGGCUACCGUUUGGCAUGAACUCGUACACAAGCAAGAAUUCGCCUCUGUCAUGGCAGCAGCCUAGGAGUUGCACCGGAUUACGAUGCCUCAACUGGCUAAUUGUCUUCACCUUGGUUACAUAGUCCUUUUUCUCUUAUUUAGAUCCUCUUGAAACCUUCUUGACAGCAACAGCCAUAUCCAAAUCAAUAAGAUAACCCUUGUAAACAGAACCAAACCCUCCUUAGCCCAACAUUUUGUUCUUGGGAAAGUUGCUGGUUGCAGAAGCAAGAUCUCUAUAAAAAAAUCUUCUUGGUCCUGCUCCUCUUUCAAGGUCCUCAUUUAUCGAAGUUAAGGUUUCUCUUUCUGCAGCAGAUUUCUUUCCUUCUUCUGCCUCUGCAAAAUCAACAGUCCCGUUAUCGCUGCAGCUAUCGGACCACCAAUUGGUACUGUAAAAGCAACUAUUAUUCUGAUCUUUUUACCAUCAGUUCCAUUUGUACUUUUAAUAUCCAAGCUUGAGCUGAACUACUAUUCAAGUAUAUGUCGCUCUCCAAACUGGCCUGUAGCAGCUGAGAAGCCAAUUGUCACCCACUGUGUUAGAACUUUCAUCAGAUUAAUUAUGUAAAACAAACUAGUAUCCUCCCGAGGAUCAGGGGUCAGUCGUUAGGUCCAAGACACACUCAAAUUCUUAGUAGUAGAAUUGUAAGCAAUCUGCACAUCAGCAGUAUCUUGUCUGUGGAAGCUGACGUUCCAGUGGGUGGAGACAGCUGAAGAAAUUGAGUUAUUGUUGAUUCCGACAUGGUCCUUAACAUCAAGGGGAUCCCACUCAGGGUUUUGAGUUGGAAUCAAACUCCUCCGAGACGAUAUGAUUUGUAGAAGAGAAAGAAGCUGUGGUGUUAAACAGCCCUAAGAAGCCACCAGCUGAAUUCGAAGGAAUCUGAAAUCCAACAGGAGCUAAGAAAAAUACGAGCCCGUGGCCGUAAGUGGGACGACCCACCCAGGGUGUCUAUUUGGAAGGAGAAUUUGGUGCUGAAGUCAGUUAGCUUACCUGUGUCAGAGUCCCAGAGCGACACUCUCUCAGCAUAAGUAGCCCAACCCACACGACAUAGAUAUUCGUUGUUUUUGGUUAAUUCAAUGGCUCCAACUGAAGAUAUUGCAUCUCCCUGAUAUAGUAUUUUUUCUUCUUUUUUUUCACCAGGGUCAAAACUAGGCAUACGGAAGGAAACUUGUGAACUGGGCGAGGGCAGAAGAACAAUAAAGAAAAUGAAGAAAGGUAAAUUGACCAAGGCAAAAGGGUGAAACAACAUGAAGCAGAGGUACAACGUGUCCGUGGAGCUUAAUUAACCUUUGUAAUAGUGCAGCUAUAAAGCUAAUUGAAAGACAAUUAAUAAUUAUCGAUUGUAUCUCCGAGAAGCUGCAUCAAAAGGUAAUAUUAGCUGUGGAAUUAUAUAAAAAUAAAUAGGUUGUUUAGAAGUCUUUUCUCAAGGAAACCAUGGCAACUUUCAUUAUCAAAGCUUGGACAGUAGCUUACGUUUCAGUAAGCUAAAUGCUUACCAAUUCCAAGCAAAAACAGAACAAACAAUAGUCAAUCCAUCGUCAAGACGAAAUUGUUGGAAACAGUACAAUUAUUGCCCUACCUUUUACUAGAAAAAAGAAAUCUAGCGUCGUAUUAGAUAUAUGUUUUAAGGAUCAACAAUUCCCCGUGAUAUGUAUAUUAUAUACGAUGCAGGUCUUAUUUUGUUUUGAUUUUCGAUGGUAGCUUUGGAAAAUAUAAGUGCCAAUGGGGUGACCAAAAAUAAAAUACUCAGUCUGGGACUCUGGGUCUGGCCAGGCUUUAGUAGGGCCUGAUGAUUAGACGCUAAGAUUUUAAAUGUCUUAACAUGAAUUAGAAUUUAUGGUAAACCAAUUUAAUAGAACUUAUUCUAAUUGUUUUCAUUAAAAAAAAUUUUAUUUUCAAUUGAUGAGUAAAUUUUUUCUUUGCUCAAAUAAAUUAAAUAAAUAAACUAUUUUAUUAAAAUUAAAGUUUAAUAUUGAUUUAUAAGUUUAUUUCAUUUUUACAAGAGUUUAUUUUAUUUGUAAUUUUAAAACACUAAUUUACCAUUCUUAUAUUAAUUUAUUAAUUUUAAUUUUAAUUUACUAUUCUUAUAUGGAAUUUAAAAAAUUUAUUUUAAUCACAAUAUUAAUACCGUAAUUUUAAUGACGCAAUCAUAAAUUUUUUCAUAUUUCUUCCAUACUUUAAAUAGAAAACUAAGUAAAAAUGAUGGGACUUCAAGCAUUAUUUGGGAUUAAAUCUAAUAUUUUUGUUUAGCUGAUGUCAGGAUUGCUGCUUUCUCCGUUUUUAUCUACAUUUUCUAUAUUCUUUAAAUUUUCAAAGUGAGCGAAUGGCAUAUAAAGUCAUCUCAGAAAUGUGUUCAACUUGUUCCCUUCAAGUAAUGAGUUUACAUUAUUAUUGUUAUUAUUACUCUUCCCAUAAAAUUUUAGUCAAAAAAUGUUUUCUUUUUAAUUUGCACACAAAUCCUAAAAUAUUAAAUUUAUCUUAAAACUUUUUUCUUAUUAUAUAAUUUCUAUCUUUAUAAUUCUAAACUCUUAUAAUUGUCUAAGAAAGAAAAUUCUUCAGUUAAAUUUUAAAAUAUAAUUAUAAAUUAUGAAAUGAGGUGGGUAUAAGAAGUUUGUGUAAAGAAUAAUUUAUUUAAGUUUUUAGUUGAAUUUCCAUUCCAAAUAAGAAAUGAUUUAGUAUGUGUUAGGUUAUUUAAGUAAUUUCAAUUAAAAAAAUGUGUUUUAAGAGGGAUUUGAGAGUUGUCAAAAGGCAUAGAAUUUUAAACUAUACGUCAAAUAAAGAAAUAUACGUCAAAUAAAGUACUUAAACUAUCUUUUUAAGAAAUUGAAAGGGUGAUAAGAGCCACCCACCCAAUAAAAUAAUAGCUCCCCAGAGUAAUAUUUCGUAUUAAAAAUAAUGAUUGUCUAAUUGAAAGGAGCUGUACAUUAUGGGCCCAGUUUUAUGGCCAACAGGUAAUUGUAAACCCACAAAUAUAGUGGUCGAAGCCCAGUUUCUUGUUUGGCAACAAAAGGAAAAUUGAUUCUUGUCAAUAUUAUUGGUUGAUGAGUGUAAGCCAGUUUCGAAUCGAAUUGUUGUAUCUUUCAAUCCGAAAUGGAAAUAUGGAAUCAGUACAUUAGUAGAAUUAAUUAAACAUCACCCUAGCACAAACCCUCAGUCCACAUUUUGCUUAACAAACAAACAAUAUGCCCUAGUGCUUUUAAAAUUAACCUGAAACACAAGAAUUUGGUCCAUAUGUUAGGUGCUCCUUGCAAGUUGGCAAAUCUCGAAGCCCAACGAAGAUAAAUGAGUGAUUUUAUCCAGGCCGUGUGUGUAAUUCCAGGCCCAUAUCAGUUGAGACUUUUCGUGAAUAAUAAGACAUGGAUCUAAAAUUCACGCCCAGAAGACAGACUUUGAGUGAAAAUAAAAUGUCUGAGAAAGUGACACAAUGCAGGAGUUUGAGACUCUGUGUUUGGUGGUAGAAGAACCGUUCAAAUCAAAGUUUAUGUGGUCACAUUUGCCUCACAAGAACAAGAUAGGAUAUCCCACAUUCACUUUGUGGCUAAGAAACGGUGGAAUUUGGAUAGGGAUUUCACGGCUGGUUUUUAUAGGCCUUUUAUCAAUUUAGUUUUUUCAAUCCGACCUUAGCUUUUCGAAUUUUAGUUUCAGUAUUUUCAAUCAACAUUGUAAUCUUUAUUGCCUAGCAUUUUCCUAAUAAAUAAAGAAUUGAUGCAUCGGACACCCAUUCAUGUACACACAAUGAUGAUAAAUUUAGAACCAAUCUUAAUCAUCGCAAACCACACACAUUUACGUAUUUAUUUUUGUCAUUUUCGAUAAUCGAGAACCUAAAAUUAAGGAAUUUAUGAACUAGAAAUUAUAGAAUAUCGAAAGAACAAUUUUAUCGCCUUUACUUGAUGUUUAGCUCAAAAUUUAUAAAGAAUUUACUCGUUAUUGACUGGUCAUUUAUUUUUGGAUAAAAUUAAAAUUAUAAAUUUAUUCAGAUAUAACUCGAUUGAUUGAAUUAAGUAUCUCUAAAUUUAUAUGAUUUGUUUUUAUUACUCUUUAUUUUUGUUAUAGAUUGGUGAUUUACAACAAUUGAGAAUUAUAUAAUCCUUAAUUUAUAGUUGAUAAAUUUGGUGAGUCCGUUGUAGGUGAGUGAGAGCAAAGGAAGAAGAAUUUACUUCUGUUUGAAGGCAAAUUUUAGUGGGAAAAAAAUAGAGGCAGAGACAUGGAACGAACGACAACCCAGUUCACAACGGAAACGACAAAGCCAUAAUUUUCAAACAGAAAAUUUUACUCCAACCACCGAAAAAAAAAAGGAAAAAAGAAAAAAACUCACCCUCAUAGCCAUAACCAUAAUCAUACAACAAACAAAGAAGAAACAGAACACCAUCUUGCAGCGGGAGAGUGAGAAGCAAAACUGGCCAUGGCUCUGGCUCUUCGCAGGCUCUCAUCUUCCCUCGACAAACCCACUCGUCCUCUCUUCAAUGGCUCCUCCCUCUACUACAUGGUCUGUCUGUUUUGCCUCUUUCAUUUUUAUACCAUUUUCUUUGGACUUUCAAAUGGUUCAUUCUGUUCUGUUUGCUCUUUUUGUAAUUUUCUUUUCUUUUUGCAUUCCUUUUCUUUUCGCAGUCAUCUUUGCCAAAUGAAGCUGUUUACGAGAAAGAGAAAAAUGGUGUCACUGUAAGUUGAUAAAUUUUUCUCUAGCUUCCUUCAUACGUUUCCAUUCUGUACCGUACUGGUUUUUUUUUAAUUUAAUUUGUUAAUUUUUCAUGUGGAUAUGGCAGUGGCCAAAACAACUGAAUGCUCCACUUGAGGUCGUUGAUCCUGAGAUUGCUGACAUUAUCGAGCAUGAAAAAGCACGACAAUGGAAGGUAACCUUAUAUCAUUUGUGAGUUUAUUUAUUUUUUUCUUUUGUCCUUCUUAAAGAAAAUUUCAAAUGAACAUCCAUUUAUUCAUUAACUUUGUCUUAACAGUACCUUUUGUUCAUUUUAAUUCACCCCUCUUGCUUUUGGCUGAAAUAAAAUUUUGCCUGUAUCUGGAUUACUAUUUCUCCAAUAUAUGAAAAUUUCAGGUUUCUUUUGGGAUGGAUUUCUUUUUUUUAGAAAAAAUAAUUCUGAAUUAUCUGAAAUAGUUUAUCUAUAUUCAAUUUAUUUUUUACUUUAUAGUUUCUGUCUUGCUGUUAAGCUCCAACUACAUUAAAAAUUUGGAUAGCUUACUGGAAUAAAUUUUGUGUGAUUUUGAAGGGACUUGAACUCAUUCCUUCAGAGAACUUUACUUCAGUAUCCGUGAUGCAAGCUGUGGGGUCUGUCAUGACCAACAAGAACAGUGAAGGAUAUCCAGGUGCAAGAUAUUAUGGAGGAAACGAGUAUGUUGAGCUAAUUAGUUCAAUCUGUGAUGUUUAUAAUAAGCUGAUAUAAGUGACUGGAAAAUUAUGAAGUUGAUUCCUUCAUAUCUACUUCUUUAACUUCGUGACUAAAUUAGCUGUUGAAAAUGGACCUGUCAUUUCUCAGGUAUAUUGACAUGGCGGAAUCCUUAUGUCAGAAGCGAGCUCUGGAAGCAUUUCGGUUGGAUCCUGAAAAAUGGGGAGGUGCAAACUUGUCAUUUGAAAUUCUCGGAAAAAUACUUGUUGUUUUUCUAAUGCUGCAGUAAUUUUCUGAAAGUAUGUCAGUACGAAAAUUCUAUAGGUAUUGAUGUUUAUAAUGCCCAUAUGCAACUUAUCAGUCAAUUAUGAAUCUUUAAAGGAUUGGUACUAACCAAAAUGUUCAUUAUCAAAGGCAAUUUUAAGAGCAUUCUUUGGUGUCAAGGAGACAGCUAAGCGACUUCAUAAUUGAAAAGAAAAGUUUGUGGGAGGAGUUAUGUUACAUGUGAUGACUUAAUGCUUUCUCAUGUUCAUUAUGCCCUGUUAUGCUGCAGUGAAUGUGCAGUCUCUGUCUGGAUCUCCAUCUAAUUUUCAAGUCUACACUGCAUUGUUAAAACCUCAUGAUAGGAUCAUGGCACUUGAUCUUCCUCAUGGUGGGCAUCUCUCACACGGCUAUCAGGUACUCGUAAUUUCUAGAGAUUUUUUAUUUUAUUUUAUCUAAUAGGUAUGUUGACCUGUCCUGCUCUCCUAGACCUUUCAGGUUAAAGGCCCUAUAAUAGGAUUUAAGCUAUAAAUGACCAAUAUCAAGAUCUAUGAAAUCCCAUUUUUAUCAUACCUAACAUUCACUAUCCACAGAUUCUUUAUCCUUAGAGAUUUUAAAGCUACAGGAGCUGUAGUAUUAUAUAACCAAUGAACCUGAUCUCAUCAUUUCUCAUAUUAAAAUGGACUUAGUCUGCAACUUUUCAUCAAUUACGGAGAAAUUUAUUAGUCUAUGUUCUAUUUUCUGGUCAUGUUAUAUGACUGAAUGUAACAUCAAAUAAUUAAUACUGUUAUUUUUAUUUUGCAGACAGAUACCAAAAAGAUAUCUGCAGUGUCCAUAUUUUUUGAGACAAUGCCAUACAGAUUGAAUGAGAGCACUGGCUAUAUAGACUAUGACCAGGUAUUGAAAUUUUAAUAUUUUUGGUACCCUUUUAGGUCCACUAAAUUCCCUAUGAUUACACAAUUUCAUACCAUGGCAGUUGAAGUGAAUGGAAAAGUUGCGUCAUCAAAGUUGGAAUUCAGGCUGUGUAGAACAGACUAAUUACUGAUACGCUUUAAGUGGAAAAUCUUGAAAAUUUAUGGCAGUAAUUCUAUAUUAGUGAGGCUGUUUCUUUUUCUCUCAUGCGAAUUGCAAGAUAUCUGAUUUUCGUAUACAAAGCUGAAGAUUUAACAUGUGCUCUCCAUCAAAUAUAUGGACGUACAGCUAUAAAAUCUUCAAUUUCAUUAACAAUUGAUUUUAGUCCUCCAUGGUUAGCAGGAAAUUGUCAAGAUAAGCAUGCAUCCGAGUUAUCCAUUCAUGUUUUUUCUAUCACCAAAUUUGAUAUUUUGGGUCAUUAUAUACAAGUCUGGACAGAUGGGGAAGGUUGACGAACUUCAAUAAGCCAUGCAUAGAAAUGAGUUUUCAGUUUCAGAUGGUAUUGAUUGGUUGUAUAUACCUUUCAAUAUAUCUGUAAGUAAAAUGUGUUGUGACUUAAAUCAUUGUAUUGCAGUUGGAGAAAAGUGCCACCCUCUUCAGGCCAAAAUUGAUUGUUGCUGGUGCUAGUGCUUAUGCACGAUUGUAUGAUUAUGAGCGUAUUCGCAAGGUAAUCUCCAUUAGGUUGAUCCAGUCUAAUCCAAUUAUGAUAGUCCUACAUCAAAUUUUAAGGUUUUGGCCUGUCUUGAUGGUUUAGAAGGUCUGAGGUUUCAUAUUCUAAAGUGUUUUAACAGGUUUGCAACAAACAAAAAGCUAUAAUGUUGGCAGAUAUGGCACACAUUAGUGGUUUGGUUGCUGCUGGUGUCAUCCCUUCACCUUUUGAGUAUGCAGAUGUUGUGACCACCACAACUCACAAAUCACUUCGUGGGCCACGUGGAGCCAUGAUUUUCUUUAGGAAGGGAGUGAAAGAGAUUAACAAACAAGGGAAGGAGGUGAGUUGUUAAAAUGAAAUAAUAGUUUUGAGUAUAUAGUAUAAUUCUUUCUUGAAGGGACACUAUGUUGGUUUAAUUGAAGCAAAUCUUUAUGCCUACGAGUUUACCUGCAGGUGUUUUAUGAUUAUGAAGAAAAAAUAAAUCAAGCUGUCUUUCCUGGACUCCAAGGUGGCCCACACAACCACACAAUUACUGGUUUAGCAGUUGCCUUGAAACAGGUAUGCACAUUGAUAACAUUUAGUCAUAUUCAUGUUUUUUCUCUGCAUGUGUAUCCUGCUUUUGUCUCAAACCAGAACAACUCUGAAUACAUUGAGGAAGAAAAGGGAAGGCCAUGUGUCAGAUAAUUGAAUGGCAGGAACAGUCUGUACCAUUACCCUAUAUGCGUUAGUUAGGUUGUCAUGUUCAAUUGAGUGCCUUGGCCACCAUUCCACCUUCCAAGCUACAACUGUCAUACUGCAGACACUAAAAUGGUCUUCAAGUAGCCCAAGAAGUGCUUUGUUUCCUUUAUUAUGGAUCGGUGUAUUUGUAUACUAACUAAUACAGGAUCAGUUUUGUAUAGUGGGAUACUUCUAAAGUACGAGAAACAUUAGGUAACAACAUAUAAUAUUAUGUGAGUUACUGGCUCAUAUAAAGCACGAACAAUAAACAGAUCCUUGGCAGUUUUGAUAUUUGUCCAAUGUGGAUACUUGUUUAUUGACCAGCAUUAAGGGGCAUCUCCUGAAUUAUCAUGCAUUUCCUUUAUUCUUCUUAACCUUUUUGGCCAAAUGACCAAUUUUCAAUACCAUUUAAACUUUCAGUUUAUAAUUUUUAACUUGGCAUGGAUGCAGGCCACUACUCCAGAGUAUAAAGCCUAUCAAGAGCAAGUUCUGAGCAAUUGCUCAAAAUUUGCACAGGUAUGCUUCAUGACAUAUAGCAAAAUUGUUGGCAAAACAAGAUCUUGUUAACAAAGCUUUGUCUUUAUUGCAUAUUUGAGCAACAUUCUCUCAUCAAUGUGAGGGCGCAACUUGCUAUCUUUCUGGGUUUUAACUGCCCAAAAUGUCUAUUUAACAGACUCUGCUCGAGAUGGGCUAUGAACUUGUUUCUGGUGGAACUGAGAACCAUCUAGUGUUGGUGAAUUUGAAAAACAAGGUAUCAGAUUUAUCUUUUUUAUCCUUUUAUUGUGUUAGUUCUGGAUGAUGUCCAAUUACUAAUGUACUGUGAGUGUUAAUUUAAGACAUCUUAUUUUGUUACUAGAAUAAAUUGGAGAGUUUGGCUCCAUGUACUGCUUUUAUUACUAGUUUUACCAUGAAAAGUUGGAUGAUCUUACUUUUUGCCAAAAUGUUCCAUCAACAGGGAAUUGAUGGUUCCAGAGUUGAAAAAGUGUUGGAAGCUGUUCAUAUUGCAGCCAACAAAAACACUGUUCCUGGGGAUGUGUCGGCCAUGGUUCCAGGUGGCAUCAGGAUGGGUAGGGACUCUGAUUACAUAUUCUUAUUACAUAUUUACAUCAUACUUAUACGAUCACUGUAUGAGCAUUGUUUCUUGAUGGAUUGAAUUGCAUUUCAGGAACUCCGGCUCUUACUUCUAGGGGAUUUGUUGAGGAGGAUUUUGCCAAGGUAGCAUAUUUCUUUGAUGCUGCUGUGAAGUUGACUGUGAAGAUCAAGUCUGAAACUCAAGGUUCUUGCCAAUAUUUUUUAUCUUAACUUUCGUUCUCUUAGGGUUUGUGUGUGUUUGAUCUUCACUCAUGCUGCAAUGCUUGUGCUGUUUAGUGAGCCAGGUGGUUGAAUCUACUAACAUGCAGUUGGGUGCUGUUAAUUUUGUAAACCAGGAACAAAGUUGAAAGAUUUCGUGGCCACAACACAGUCCGCUAACUUCCAAUCCGAGAUUGCGAAACUUCGCCAUGAUGUUGAGGAGUAUGCAAAGCAAUUCCCCACAAUUGGGUUUGAAAAGGAAACCAUGAAGUACAAGAACUGAGAGAAAAACGCCACUGUACUAGGUAUACAUAUUUACUUCAGUAUCAUUAGAGCAGCUUGGGAGGCCUAGUUCUCUAUAGCUAGGAUUAUCUUCCCUUGUGGUUUCUCAAUUUUUUUUUUUUUAACCUCUUUUUACAUUGGACUCUCCUACAUCAACAGGUAUUUGACAGCUUACUGAUCUGCCAGUGAAUUUCUAUAACUGCAUGUCACAUUCCCUUUUGUUAUUCUUAAAUUUCAGCUACUUAUUGGUUCCUUGUUUUUGUUUUUGCUGAUUGAACAUAAAUGUGUUGAGCAGAGUAGCGGAAGCCAGCCUGUAUGAGCUUUUAUUACACAGAGGCGACGAGGGAUGAAAUGUAACUUACGAUGAUGAGCCAUGUAUCAACUAUCGACCCUGUGAUUUGGCGCUUUUAUGAAUACAAUAUACAGCAAACCUUGAUUUAGAUCACAAUUAAUGUAUAUAAAGUACUCUGUAUUUACUGAGGCUUUCAGGAAGCAAAUAAACCUGCAAUAAAACUAGAAGCGAUAUCUUUUUUCACCUCAUGGUUUCUUAGCACAGUGAAUAUAAAUAAAAGCCUCGGGAUCAAGUAAUAUG